Molecule: ribosomal RNA, 378 nt
Filed under: uncultured eukaryote
Lineage: Eukaryota
Description: partial 18S ribosomal RNA
Rfam family: Eukaryotic small subunit ribosomal RNA
Source: RNAcentral
CAAUAGCGUAUAUUUAAGUUGUUGCAGUUAAAAAGCUCGUAGUUGGAUUUCGGAUGGGACUUGCCGGUCCGUCGUUUCGAUGUGCACUGGCCAGUCCUAUCUUGUUGUCGGGGACUAGCUCCUGGGCUUCACUGUCCGGGACUAGGAGCUGACGAGGUUACUUUGAGUAAAUUAGAGUGUUCAAAGCAAGCCUACGCCCUGAAUACAUUAGCAUGGAAUAACACGAUAGGACUCUGGCUUAUCUUGUUGGUCUGUGAGACCAGAGUAAUGAUUAAGAGGGACAGUCGGGGGCAUUCGUAUUUCAUUGUCAGAGGUGAAAUUCUUGGAUUUAUGAAAGACGAACUUCUGCGAAAGCAUUUGUCAAGGAUGUUUUCAUUA